RNAcentral lists this ribosomal RNA (441 nucleotides) under uncultured bacterium. Its description in RNAcentral is "partial 16S ribosomal RNA". It matches the Rfam family "Bacterial small subunit ribosomal RNA", at positions 338 to 795 of the family's 1533-position model. The record is from RNAcentral.
CCUACGGGGGGCAGCAGUGGGGAAUAUUGCACAAUGGGGGAAACCCUGAUGCAGCGACGCCGCGUGAGUGAAGAAGUAUUUCGGUAUGUAAAGCUCUAUCAGCAGGGAAGAAAAAAGACGGUACCUGACUAUAAAGCCCCGGCUAACUACGUGCCAGCAGCCGCGGUGAUACGUAGGGGGCAAGCGUUAUCCGGAUUUACUGGGGGUAAAGGGGGCGUGGACGGCUGUGCAAGUCUGAAGUGUAAGGCCAGGGCUCAACCCAGGGACUGCUUUGGAGACUGUGGAGCUAGAGUGCUGGGGAGGUAAGUGGAAUUCCUAGUGUAGCGGUGAAAUGCGUAGAUAUUAGGAGGAACACCAGUGGCGAAGGCGGCUUACUGGACAGUAACUGACGUUGAGGCUCGAAAGCGUGGGGAGCAAACAGGAUUAGAUACCCUGGUAGUC